This 69-nucleotide transfer RNA is filed under the name Troglodytes troglodytes mosukei. Its description in RNAcentral is "tRNA-Pro". It matches the Rfam family "tRNA". From Rfam's summary of the family: Transfer RNA (tRNA) molecules are approximately 80 nucleotides in length. Lineage: Eukaryota; Metazoa; Chordata; Aves; Passeriformes; Certhiidae. The record is from RNAcentral.
CAGAGGGUAGUUUAAUUAAAAUUCCAGCUUUGGGAGUUGGCGUCAAAGGUUUGAUUCCUUUUCCUCUGA